Ziziphus jujuba (common jujube) is the source of this 796-nucleotide long non-coding RNA. RefSeq lists it as uncharacterized. The transcript has 6 exons. The record is from RefSeq and is a predicted model, not a curated record. Lineage: Eukaryota; Viridiplantae; Streptophyta; Magnoliopsida; Rosales; Rhamnaceae.
UUCAAAUAAAAAAGAAAAAGAAAAAAUUAAUGAGACGUAUUCGAGUUUUUCUCUAACCUGGACGGAGCACGAAGAAAAGAGGAAGAGAAAGUGAGAGAGAAUCAGGUCGUUGCUAGCAAUCGGAGGCAAAGAAAGGUUAGCACCAUUUGAAUCGAAGAUGGAGAGAAGCAACCUCAAGUCUCCGAUUAAGGAUUCGAGAAGGUUCGCACUUUUUGGAAAUCGGCAGUGGUUGUGUGGCGAAAACCUGGUGGAGAACACUGUUGUGCUUUCGCUUACAGACCAAAGUGAGGGCACGAUCAAAAUUCCAACACAAAAGAAGCAUUUCGACUACAUUGUCCUCGGGGCAUGGAAAUAGGAGAAACUAUGAUUUGAAGCUCAGUCCAAUGGGAUUCCUUAUAAAAGGAGGUUUGUCAUCAUCCUAUGAUUGUUGCUUGCCACUGUGAGGGUAAAGGAUGGAAAUUUUGGGGUGAUAGCAAUUUGAAGAGUAAAUUUUAGGGUCACUCAAUUCAGCUUGAUCAUGCUGUUCUUUUAACGGUGGAAUUUAACGACAGAGAAAUCUUUCAAUGGAGUAAGGUUACAACAUCAAUUAACAACCUUAUAUUGGGAAAGCUCUAUUGUGACCACCGUGGUACAAUGCAUAUACAAGGGAAUCAUAACUAUUCUUGCAAGCUGAAAUUCAAGGAGCAAUCUAUCAUUGACCAAAAUCCUCACCAGGUACAUGGUUUAGUUCAAGAUAGAAAUGGAAAAAUGAUAGCAAUACUAUUUGGAAAAUGGGAUGAGAGCAUGCAUUAUGUGA